Molecule: ribosomal RNA, 497 nt
Filed under: uncultured bacterium
Lineage: Bacteria
Description: partial 16S ribosomal RNA
Rfam family: Bacterial small subunit ribosomal RNA
Source: RNAcentral
GACGAACGCUGGCGGCGUGCCUAAUACAUGCAAGUUGAGCGCUGAAGGUUGGUACUUGUACCGACUGGAUGAGCAGCGAACGGGUGAGUAACGCGUGGGGAAUCUGCCUUUGAGCGGGGGACAACAUUUGGAAACGAAUGCUAAUACCGCAUAAAAACUUUAAACACAAGUUUUAAGUUUGAAAGAUGCAAUUGCAUCACUCAAAGAUGAUCCCGCGUUGUAUUAGCUAGUUGGUGAGGUAAAGGCUCACCAAGGCGAUGAUACAUAGCCGACCUGAGAGGGUGAUCGGCCACAUUGGGAAUGAGACAAGGCCCAAACUCCUACGGGAGGCAGCAGUAGGGAAUCUUCGGCAAUGGACGAAAGUCUGACCGAGCAACGCCGCGUGAGUGAAGAAGGUUUUCGGAUCGUAAAACUCUGUUGGUAGAGAAGAACGUUGGUGAGAGUGGAAAGCUCAUCAAGUGACGGUAACUACACAGAAAGGGACGGCUAACUACGUG